This 76-nucleotide transfer RNA is filed under the name Fidelibacterota bacterium. RNAcentral's name for it is "tRNA-Arg". It matches the Rfam family "tRNA". From Rfam's summary of the family: Transfer RNA (tRNA) molecules are approximately 80 nucleotides in length. Their secondary structure includes four short double-helical elements and three loops (D, anti-codon, and T loops). Lineage: Bacteria; Pseudomonadati; Fidelibacterota. The record is from RNAcentral.
GCCCCCGUAGCUCAGGUGGACAGAGCACUGGCCUCCGGAGCCAGGUGCGGGCGUUCGAGUCGCCCCGGGGGUACAA